GACGAACGCUGGCGGCGUGCUUAACACAUGCAAGUCGAACGGAAAGGCCCUGCUUUUGUGGGGUGCUCGAGUGGCGAACGGGUGAGUAACACGUGAGUAACCUGCCCUUGACUUUGGGAUAACUUCAGGAAACUGGGGCUAAUACCGGAUAGGAGCUCCUGCUGCAUGGUGGGGGUUGGAAAGUUUCGGCGGUUGGGGAUGGACUCGCGGCUUAUCAGCUUGUUGGUGGGGUAGUGGCUUACCAAGGCUUUGACGGGUAGCCGGCCUGAGAGGGUGAACGGCCACAUUGGGACUGAGAUACGGCCCAGACUCCUACGGGAGGCAGCAGUGGGGAAUAUUGCACAAUGGGCGGAAGCCUGAUGCAGCAACGCCGCGUGCGGGAUGACGGCCUUCGGGUUGUAAACCGCUUUCGCCUGUGACGAAGCGGGAGUGACGGUAAUGGGUAAAGAAGCACCGGCUAACUACGUG
This 468-nucleotide ribosomal RNA is filed under the name uncultured bacterium. Its description in RNAcentral is "partial 16S ribosomal RNA". It matches the Rfam family "Bacterial small subunit ribosomal RNA", at positions 28 to 507 of the family's 1533-position model. The record is from RNAcentral.